RNAcentral lists this ribosomal RNA (580 nucleotides) under Vibrio splendidus. Its description in RNAcentral is "bacterial SSU rRNA". It matches the Rfam family "Bacterial small subunit ribosomal RNA", at positions 45 to 604 of the family's 1533-position model. Lineage: Bacteria; Pseudomonadati; Pseudomonadota; Gammaproteobacteria; Vibrionales; Vibrionaceae. The record is from RNAcentral.
GGCCUAACACAUGCAAGUCGAGCGGAAACGACACUAACAAUCCUUCGGGUGCGUUAAUGGGCGUCGAGCGGCGGACGGGUGAGUAAUGCCUAGGAAAUUGCCUUGAUGUGGGGGAUAACCAUUGGAAACGAUGGCUAAUACCGCAUGAUGCCUACGGGCCAAAGAGGGGGACCUUCGGGCCUCUCGCGUCAAGAUAUGCCUAGGUGGGAUUAGCUAGUUGGUGAGGUAAUGGCUCACCAAGGCGACGAUCCCUAGCUGGUCUGAGAGGAUGAUCAGCCACACUGGAACUGAGACACGGUCCAGACUCCUACGGGAGGCAGCAGUGGGGAAUAUUGCACAAUGGGCGAAAGCCUGAUGCAGCCAUGCCGCGUGUAUGAAGAAGGCCUUCGGGUUGUAAAGUACUUUCAGUUGUGAGGAAGGGUGUGUAGUUAAUAGCUGCGCAUCUUGACGUUAGCAACAGAAGAAGCACCGGCUAACUCCGUGCCAGCAGCCGCGGUAAUACGGAGGGUGCGAGCGUUAAUCGGAAUUACUGGGCGUAAAGCGCAUGCAGGUGGUUCAUUAAGUCAGAUGUGAAAGCCCG